UGGGGAAUAUUGCACAAUGGGGGAAACCCUGAUGCAGCAACGCCGCGUGAGUGAAGAAGUAUUUCGGUAUGUAAAGCUCUAUCAGCAGGGAAGAAGAUGACGGUACCUGAGUAAGAAGCCCCGGCUAACUACGUGCCAGCAGCCGCGGUAAUACGUAGGGGGCAAGCGUUAUCCGGAUUUACUGGGUGUAAAGGGAGCGUAGACGGCGAUGCAAGUCUGAAGUGAAAGCCCGGGGCUCAACCCCGGGACUGCUUUGGAAACUGUAUAGCUAGAGUGCUGGAGAGGCAAGCGGAAUUCCUAGUGUAGCGGUGAAAUGCGUAGAUAUUAGGAAGAACACCAGUGGCGAAGGCGGCUUGCUGGACAGUAACUGACGUUGAGGCUCGAAAGCGUGGGGAGCAAACAGGAUUAGAUACCC
RNAcentral lists this ribosomal RNA (415 nucleotides) under uncultured bacterium. Its description in RNAcentral is "bacterial SSU rRNA". It matches the Rfam family "Bacterial small subunit ribosomal RNA", at positions 355 to 787 of the family's 1533-position model. The record is from RNAcentral.